GGGUGUGAUGAUCAAUUGACACUAUAGGAAUUCCUCAUUCUGAAGUUAUCAUGUAGAUUCUGUCUUUUAAAAGUUUCAGCCUUGUCUGACC
Small nucleolar RNA from Glarea lozoyensis 74030, 91 nucleotides. It matches the Rfam family "A. fumigatus snoRNA Afu_455". Lineage: Eukaryota; Fungi; Ascomycota; Leotiomycetes; Helotiales; Helotiaceae. The record is from Rfam.